GGUCACAAGCGUUAUCCGGAAUUAUUGGGCGUAAAGCGUUCGUAGGCGGUUUGUUAAGUCUGGAGUUAAAGACUGGGGCUCAACCCCAGCCCGCUCUGGAUACUGGCUGACUAGAGUUACAUAGAGGUAAGUGGAAUUCUUAGUGGAGCGGUGGAAUGCGUAGAUAUUAGGAAGAACACCAAUGGCGAAGGCAGCUUACUGGAUGUACACUGACGCUCAGGGACGAAAGCGUGGGGAGCAAACAGGAUUAGAUACCCUGGUAGUCCACGCCGUAAACGAUGAUCAUUAGCCGCUAGAAUAUUUAGUGGCGCAGCUAACGCAUUAAAUGAUCCGCCUGAGUAGUAUGCUCGCAAGAGUGAAACUUAAAGGAAUUGACGGGGACCCGCACAAGCGGUGGAGCAUGUGGUUUAAUUUGAAGAUACGCGUAGAACCUUACCCACUCUUGACAUCUUCCGCAAUACUAUGGAGACAUAGUGGAGGUUAACGGAAUGACAGAUGGUGCAUGGUUGUCGUCAGCUCGUGCCGUGAGGUGUUAGGUUAAGUCCUGCAACGAGCGCAACCCCUGUCUUUAGUUACUAACGGGUAAUGCCGAGGACUCUAAAGAGACUGACUGGGUAACCAGUAGGAAGGUGGGGACGACGUCAAAUCAUCAUGCCUCUUACGAGUGGGGCAACACACGUGCUACAGUGGACGGUACAAAGAGAAGCAAUAUGGUGACAUGGAGCAAACCUCAAAAAACCGUUCUCAGUUCGGAUUGAAGUCUGAAACUCGACUUCAUGAAGUUGGAAUCGCUAGUAAUCGUAGAUCAGCUACGCUACGGUGAAUACGUUCUCGGGUCUUGUACACACCGCCCGUC
Molecule: ribosomal RNA, 856 nt
Filed under: uncultured Mycoplasma sp.
Lineage: Bacteria; Bacillati; Mycoplasmatota; Mollicutes; Mycoplasmatales; Mycoplasmataceae
Description: bacterial SSU rRNA
Rfam family: Bacterial small subunit ribosomal RNA
Source: RNAcentral